Euleptes europaea (tarantolino) is the source of this 72-nucleotide non-coding RNA. The record is from the annotation of a RefSeq genome assembly. Lineage: Eukaryota; Metazoa; Chordata; Lepidosauria; Squamata; Sphaerodactylidae.
GGGGCUGUGGCUCAGUGGUAGAGCAUCUGCUUACCAGGCAAAAGGUCCCAGGUUCGAUCCCCGGCAUCUCCA